GACGAACGCUGGCGGCGUGCUUAACACAUGCAAGUCGAACGGAAAGGCCCUGCUCUUGUGGGGUGCUCGAGUGGCGAACGGGUGAGUAACACGUGUGUAACCUGCCCUUGACUUUGGGAUAACUUCUGGAAACUGGGGCUAAUAUCGGACAGGAGCUCCUGCUGCAUGGUGGGGGUUGGUAAGUUUCGGCGGUUGGGGAUGUACUCGCGGGUUAUCAGCUUGUUGGUGGGGUAGUGGCUUACCAAGGCUUUGACGGGUAGCCGGCCUGAGAGGGUGACCGGCCACAUUGGGACUGAGAUACGGCCCAGACUGCUACGGGGGGCAGCAGUGGGGAAUAUUGCAAGAUGGGCGGAAGCCUGAUGCAGCAACGCCGCGUGCGGGAUGACGGCCUUCAGGUUAUAAACCGCUUUCGCCUGUGACGAAGCGUGAGUGACGGUAAUGGGUAAAGAAGCACCGGCUAACUACGUG
This 468-nucleotide ribosomal RNA is filed under the name uncultured bacterium. RNAcentral's name for it is "partial 16S ribosomal RNA". It matches the Rfam family "Bacterial small subunit ribosomal RNA", at positions 28 to 507 of the family's 1533-position model. The record is from RNAcentral.